This 678-nucleotide ribosomal RNA is filed under the name Triticum aestivum (bread wheat). RNAcentral describes it as "partial small subunit ribosomal RNA". The record is from RNAcentral. Lineage: Eukaryota; Viridiplantae; Streptophyta; Magnoliopsida; Poales; Poaceae.
AUGUAUACUCCGACUACUCUCCAAGCCUCAAGGGGACUUAUGACGAGACCUCAACUAUACGCCCUUGGACACAAGGUGAACUCGCUCCUCUCCGAACCUUCACUUCCCGCAUGUGAGACAUGGUUACUACCUCAUAUAUAUAUGCUAUGCAUGACCAGGAACAAGGAGGAAGACCAUGGACAAGACGGCGAGGACACCAAGUACAAGGACCAAGAGAAGAAGCUGCCCGAAGCUACAGCGGCCGGACGUCCGACCAGGACCGGACGUCCGACGACUCCCAGGCUCCGGACGACCGGCCCCCUCCGGACGACCGUGCCAGCGACCACCGAACCGAAUCUGCGGACAUCCGAAGAACUCCGGACGUCCGGGACCCCGCGAGCCUCCGGACGACCGGCCCCUCCGGACGUCCGACCGAAGCGCACCCGAGCCGAAUCUACGGAAGUCCGAAGAGCACCGGACGUCCGGACCUUCCCGAGCCUCCGGACGACCGGAACCCUCCGGACGUCCUACGCCUGUCUGCGCACAGUGUGUUGGGCCGCAGCCCAUGUACCCCUUCACUUACCCCUUCGUGGCCCUAGACUAUAUAUACUCCUUCACCUCCUCCUAGUUAGAUUUAGCGUUGAUUUAGCUCAAGUUAGAGAUAGAGCUUCGCUCAUCCAUCGGAUCUCCUCCUCGUGA